Molecule: ribosomal RNA, 247 nt
Filed under: uncultured bacterium
Lineage: Bacteria
Description: partial 16S ribosomal RNA
Rfam family: Bacterial small subunit ribosomal RNA
Source: RNAcentral
GACAGAGGAUGCAAGCGUUAUCCGGAAUGAUUGGGCGUAAAGCGUCUGUAGGUGGCUUUUAAGUCCGCCGUCAAAUCCCAGGCUCAACCCUGGACAGGCGGUGGAACUACCAAGCUGGAGUACGGUAGGGCAGAGGGAAUUUCCGGUGGAGCGGUGAAAUGCGUAGAGAUCGGAAAGAACACCAACGGCGAAAGCACUCUGCUGGCCGACACUGACACUGAGAGACGAAAGCUAGGGGAGCGAAUGG